UGAUAGCUCAGUCGGUAGAUCAUGACACUCUUAAUCUCAGGGUCGUGGGUUCAAGCCCCAUGUUUGGGCAAAA
Molecule: non-coding RNA, 73 nt
Organism: Podarcis lilfordi (Lilford's wall lizard)
Lineage: Eukaryota; Metazoa; Chordata; Lepidosauria; Squamata; Lacertidae
Source: the annotation of a GenBank genome assembly